AGAAAUAAACAAAAUGAAUGUCUAUCGCCAGCCAGCGCAGUGGGAAGACAAACGCACAAAAGAUUUACGGAAUCAAGUUACACUACUGAAUACACAUCUUGGUGUACAAAGGUCAAAGUUGUCAUCAACGAUACCAGAACUCGUGCAAUACUGUGAGAAGCACGCUGUACAGGAUCCUUUCCUAUUUCCUAUUAGAGACAAUCCUUUUAAACCAAUAAGACGACCGUGUUGUAUUAUAUAGAAGAUAACUGGAUCAAAACAUGUGUGAAUGUGAUAAAUAUGUGGUAAUUAUACAAUAUUUAGUACACAGUUACAAGGAGUAGUGGAUUUAGAUAUUAGAAGAUGUGGCAUGACUGCCAAUGAGAAAACUCUCCAUCUAAGUCACAAUUAUUAAAAAGUAAACUUCUAUAGGUCCAACUACAGCCUUGAACAUAGAGGAACCUAAUAGUCCAGUCAAACUAAGAUUUAACCUCAAACUAAUUGCAACAGAAAAUGUUUUAGUUCUAAACUAUAGCAUUAUGCCUUUAAUAUAACAGAAAAAAAGUCCAUAAAAUCAUUACUUGAGGAAAAUCAAAUCAGCAUUUUAUCUUAUGGAGAUUAACAUUGGAAGGGGAGAUAACUUGCAAAAAUGAUCUUUUUUGGUCAGUUGGUUGUUUUCUCAAAUUUUUGUAAAGUAUGAUACUUUGAUGGGGUUAUAAGUUUUUAUUUGACUAAAUUAUAUAAUCUUCUGCUCAUGAAAUGUACAAAACCGAAGUGUUAUGGGUAGUUUUAUUUUUUUCAUGCAUUUUUGUCGAGCCUGCAACUUUUGUUGCAGAAAGCUCGACAUAGGGAUAGUGAUCCGGCAGCGGCGGCGGCUACGGCGGUGGCGUUAGCUAACUUCUUAAAAGGUUUAUAUUUAAGAAGGUGAAAGACCUGGAUGCUUCAUACUUUGUAUAUAGAUGCCUCAUGUUACGAAGUUUCCAUCAGUCACAUGUCCAAUGUCCUUGACCUCAUUUUCAUGGUUCAGUGACCACUUGAAAAAAAAAGUUCAGAAUUUUUGUAAUGUUGAAUUCUCUCUUAUUAUAAGUAAUAGGAAAAAUAUAUUUGGUAUGUGCGUACCUUGGCAAGGUCCUCUGCCGUCAGGACAGUUUUCACUUGACCUGACCUCAUUUCAUGGAUCAGUGAAACAAGGUAAGUUUUGGGUGGUCAAGUCCAUAUCUCAGAUUACUAUCAGCAAUAGGGCUAGUAUAUUUGGUGUAUGGAAGGACUGGAGGUGUACAUGUCCAACUGGCAGGUGUCAUCUGACCUUGACUCCUCAUUUUCAUGGUUCAGUGGUUAUAGUUAAGUUUUUUGUGUUUUGGUCUGUUUUUUCUCAUACUUUAUGCAAUAGGUUUACUAUAUUUGUUUGUAUGGAAUGAUUGUAGAGGUGUACAUGUCUAGCGGGCAGAUGUCAUCUGACCUUGACCUCAUUUUCAUGGUUCAGUGAUGAAAGUUAAGUUUUUAAGUUUUGGUCUUUUUAUCUAAUAUUAUAUAUGCCAAAGGUCAACUAUAUUUGGUGUAUGGGAAUAUAUUAUGAUUUAUAUGUCAGUCCCGCAGGUUUUAUUUGACCAUGACCUCAAUUGCACGGUUCAUUGCACAGUGUUAAGUUUUUGUGUUUUGGUCUAUUUUUCUUAAACUAUAAGUAUAGGUCAACUAUAUAUUUGUUGUAUGGAAGCUUGUUAGCUGUACAUGUCUGCCUGGCAUGGUUCAUCUGACCUUGACCUCAUUUUCAUGGUUCAUUGGUCUUUGUUUAGCUACUUGGUUAAUGUUAAGUUUAUGGACAGUUGUAAUAAAGCUUAAUACUUAGGACUAUCAACAUCAAUAUCAAUGAUUAGUAAAGAAGGCGAGACAUUUCAGUGUAUGCACUCUUGUUGAUUAAAGAAGUUGCAAAUUUGAAGCUUUGUAACCAUUUUGAAAAAAUAAUGUAAAAAUUUGAUAUUGUUUAUAUUGUAUAUUAUAUUUUUCAGCACUUACUUAUCAAACUUAAACCACAAAAAGAAGAAAUACAUGCUUAUUAUUUUUUAUUAAAUGAGAUUCUUUACCUUGACAUGUUGAAAAAUUCAAUAAAGGUCAACUAAUGAAUUACGAAAUAUAGAUUAUAGCUUGGUAAAAAUAUAUGAAACACCUUUAGAGUUGUUUGUUAUACUUUAAAGGCCGCUAAAAAUCAAGAAUCAAUACAUUCUGAUGAAUAGUAGCGGUAAAGUUAUAAUUUUGUAUCAAUUUUUGUUGAUAGUCUGCCUUUUUUGCAAGAGUUAUCUCCCUUUUCAAUGCAAAUCUCCAUAGGAAUUUUAAAUGGUAAUUUUUUUAGUCUUCCUCAAGUUAGAUUUUAUGGGACUUUUUUCUGUGUAUAUUUGGGGUAUAAUGCUAAAGGUUAAAACUUAAAAAUCUUCUGUUGCAAUAACUUUCGGGUUAGGGUCAAAUUUAUGCUAGAUUGACUGAACUAUAAGCUCACACCAAACAGCAAGCUAUAAACUUAAAAGAGCCCUAAAAAUUACAUGUUGUGUAAAACAAUGUUUUACAGGAAAACAAACGGUCUAAUCUUUAUAAAAAAAACAAUGAGAAACUCAUGAAUCACAUCAACAAACGACAACCAAUGAACAAGAGGUAGAGAGAGGAACAUGAAUCUGUCUGUUCUGUUUACAGUUUAACAGACAAAGAGAAAUAAAUGCAUUAUCCAACGUUACCAAUAUUCAAUGUUUAUAGCUUUCUUGACCAUGUUUACCAUUCAGUGCUCUCAACCACUUAGAUUAAUGAUAGGAAAAGAUAUUUGAUGUAUCUUACUGGAUCAGUAAGUUUCCAAUGAUAUGCUCAUAUAAAUAGUUUUGUUCUUUUUGACAUUUACCUUUCUAAAGCUACAUGUAUGCCCUUACCAAACCAACUUUACCGUGCGUAUUGUUGUGCGUUUUUUUUUUCUACAUUGGCUAGAGGUAUAGGGGUCUAAGGGUUGAGAUCUCAAAAAACAUGUUUAACCCGGCCGAAUUUAUGCGUCUGUCCCAAGUCAGGAGCUUCUGGCCUUUGUUAGUCUUGUAUGAUUUUUAAUUUUAGUUUCUUGAGUGUAAUUCGGAAUUUAGCAUAACAUCCAUUUUCACUGAACUAGUAUUCAUAUUUGUUUAGGGGCCAGCUGAAGGACGCCUCUGGGUGCGGGAGUUUCUCGCUGCAUCGAAGACCCAUUGGUGGCCUUCUGCUGUUGUCUGCUCUUUGGCUGGAUUGUUGUCUCUUUGACACAUACCCCAUUUCCAUUCUCAAUUUUAUGAAAAUUAGUGUUUAUUUCCUUUCUUGAUGAUUAUUUAAAAAAGUUCUACUUUGCCAAUUCAAAAGACAUUUGUAAUACAUUGCUUUGAAACAUUGCUUUGAAACAGGUAAUUUUAAUUUGCGAUAAAAGAUUUUUUUCUGCUGGCAAGAGUAGAUGUGAUCAUGCCACUUGAUUGCAUGCAUGUUUCUAGAUUCUGUUGAUAAAUUCCAAUGUCUAAUGAAAUACAAUCUUAUUAUUUAUAAUGAGGUAAAUAUUGACAUGCCUAUUUUUUUUUUUUUCAGAUUCAACAAAUGAUAGAAGUAACUGUAAUACAUAUAUUUUCCACGAAGAAGAAAUUCUGUUGUUGUAGCUGUUAAAAUAGUAAAUGGUCAGUGGAGCUGUUCAAGAUGUUUAUUGUCAGUGGCUUAUAUAUGAUGCUAUUAAUUGCCUUCAAAACUCUGUCAAAAUUACUAUAGUGCCAUUGCUAAAUAGAAAACCAAGAAAAUCUUUUGAAUUUUUUUUAAACUAAAAAAAAUAUUAUAAAAAAAAUUAUAUAUAUUCAUUGCUUAAUAAAUCAUGCCAAACUAGAUAUUUGCUUGUGUGCCUUUAAGUGUGGGUGCUAAUAUAGACAUAUUCAAGAUCUUUAUUGUAUUCCUAUUGAAAUUUGUGAUUUGUGUGAUGUUUAUAUUUUUUUAUAUUGUGAUUACUUUAUUUUGUAUGAUAAAUCAUCUUUUUGACUAUUUGUGCCAGUAAAAUUCCUUCAAAUUCAAAAAGAUAAUGAAAAAAAUGUAUUAAAUUCAUUAUUUAUCCAAAUGAAACUUAAGCUGUAUUCUUUGUUGAUAAUUAACCAUAAGAUUAAUUUUUUUACUUUGAUACGAAAAAUGUAUGUAUAAAAACUGACUUGCUAUUGCCAAAGAUGAUUCCAUUUGGAAAGCUAAUAUGUUUUUUUUAACAAAGCAAAUAGUAACUUCGGACAACAAUUUAUGUUAGUUCUGUUUUGUUUAGUAAUUUUCUAUUUAACUGUUUGAAUGUCAUUUAUUAAAGUGCACAAUAUUAAAUGAUUAUUAAUUUUCUGCUCAACUUUCUUUUUUAGUGGGUUUUAAAUUCACAAUUUUUUCUAGGGGCCAAAACUGUUUGAAUGAUUUUUUGACAUUUUUUCCUGUUUCGCAUUCCAUUAAGAUAAAAUCUAAACCAGUGGAUAUUUUCACAACGUUGUCUAUGAAAAAAUAAGGAAAUAUAUCCUUUCCAAAAAGCUACAUUUACUAGUGGUACCUUAGCUUAAACAUUUUUUACUUCUAAAAGCUAAAAAAAAAUUAGAAAAAAUUGUAUUGUGCUAAUCAAUUGUUUAAAUCUAAUGAUAUAUUGUAAUAAAACAUAGUCAUAUAGUCAUACUUUAUAAAUACAAUAAUUUGUUCACAUAAUAACAGAUGGUUGUAAUUUGACAUUUCAAAUCUAUAUUUUAUUUGUUCAGCAGAAACCACACAUGGAAUUUCUAUCUGUCAGUUAAAAAAGUCUUUGAAUUAUUUUUAUAAGUUUACAUUCUUAAACUUUAGUUCUUCAUCAGAUAUUUUUGUAAGUUCUCUUUUCUUUAACUUUGGCAUUGGAAACUUAUUGGGAACUUAAAUAUUUAAUUUUUAGUGAAUUUAACUCAGUAAAUGAAACAUUUUUCUUUGUCAGUAAGUAAUAAAAUGAUCCUCAUACAGCAGAUAAAAAUUAUUUCUUGUUAUGUAUGUAAUGACCGUUUACAUGUACAUUCAUGUUUUUUUGCAACUGUCCAACCAUUUAUAGAAUCUAUAUAGAAAUUAAUGCAGGUUAAAGUCAGAAUUGCCUCUUAUAGAUUCCUGAAUUUAUUUUUUGAGAAGUAGCGUUUAUGAAACAAUAACUAUGAAUAUUUCAGCAGAUUUUAAUGAAUAUGAUAGUGUGUAUUUUUAUGCUGCUGCAUAUUCAUUCUGUUGGGCACAUUGUUAUAUAUUUAUAUGGUUUGUAAAUGAAAAUUAAUAUAUACUUAUAUAUAUGUGUUGUUAUUAAAAUGCUUUUUUGUCAUUCACAUUUUUGUUGGUAUAAAAGAAGGGGAAAAGAACUUUUGUAUUUCCUUUUGCUAUGGAUUUUUUUUAACAAGUUAUAUAUCUUAAAAUUUAAGAUGUUCUAUUUACUUUCUGGCUAAAAAAAACAUCAUUAGAAUACUAGACAAAAUUGUUUGUGUGAACAUUAGUUUGGGGUUCAGUCACUUUAGUGAUAGGGUCUCCUAGCUCACUCCCUUAACAGUAGAAAACGUCAGUUCAGAUAAGUGCUGAAAAUGAUAUCAUCCUCACCUGGCUCUACUAAUACUAUUAACACUACAGAGAUUAGACCAGGAUACCAGGCUAGUAAAAUGUAAAGUUAAACUUCACAGUCAUAGUUAUCUUUCUUGAAUCAGAUAAUAUUAGUAGAGAGGAUAUAUUUUAAAUGUUUGAAUAGGAUAUUCCAUAAUAAUGGUUUAUAAGGGUUUUUACAGUUUCUUAUAAGGGUGCAUAUUGAAAACUAUUUUCAAUUAAGGUAAUUUUCUGAAAUUAUCUGUUUUUCAAAAAUGAUAUACAUAGAUGGUGAAGGGUGUUUUAUGUAAUGUACAAGAAACAAUCAUUGUUUACUUGUGUAAAUUUGCAACUUGAUUAACUCCAUAACAUAUAAAUACAAUGUAUUUGUCUUAAUACAGUCAUGUUUUUGUAACAUAUUUUAUUAUCAUUACAUGCAAAGAACCUAAUGAUAUGAAAUCAAAAUAUACUAUAGCAAAGAGCUUUCACAUGUGCAAUGUUGUAAUUUAUAUUUGUAAAGGACUACUGUGCAAUGUAUAUUUAUGUGUAAACAAUUUUUCUGAUACUUUUUUGUUCAAAAGUUAAAUUUUACAAGUGAUCUGUUUUACUCUGAUUUUCUGCAGUGUAACAAUUUCAAUUCUUUUUACUUUUUCUACAUUGUAACAUUGUAAAUUCAACCUGGUAAAAUGAUAUAUUUGUGCAUUAAGUGAAAAAAAACCAUCUGAAUUGACCACAUUGUAUUAUAUUAAUUUUAAAGUACAGCUAGAAAAUGAUAAUAUAUGCACAAAUGACAUUGUCAUAAACAAACCACAAUGUCACAAUGAACAAACCACAAUGUCAUAUUACAUUUGUUGACAAUAACCAGAGUAUUGAAAAAGAACCAAUGAUUGCCUUGUUUGAUUAUAGUGAUUAAAGUAAUACUGUUUUAUCUGUUGGCAUGUUUUUGUUUAUACUAACUGUUAAAGUUGUUUUUAACUAUUCCAGGAACCUAUGCACAAUUAUGUUUUUGGGUUAUUCCAUUAAGAUUGAUAGGGGAGGGUUGAAAGGAAUUUUUUAUUUUUGGAAAAGGGCCUUUGUACUGAUGUAUGUACAUUUGACCUACCGGUAUUCAAAAUUACAAAAAGUAAGUAGUAGGGAGAAAGGGAGGAUUUUGAAAGUUCCGUUCUUCCACUUUUAAUACAUCCUUUAUAAUAGGAUAUUCAAACUUAAGUCCAAAAUUGAUGCAAUUUUCAAUGGUAAAUUUGUUGCUAAAAUUGCAAAGGCCCGACCCGUUAGGAGGUCAUAGGUUCCUGGAAUAGUCUUUCCCUCGUUUGAUUUUAAAUGAAAAAGUGAAGUUUGAAAAUCGGGCAGGUUAUAGUUUUAGUUAUAGUUGACUUUUAUUUCUGUGAACACUCCAAUGAUCCAAUCUAAUAUUGGCUUCAAAAUGAAUUUUAAGGAAUAAGUAUAAUAAAAACGCAUACAAAACACUCCAUAGCUUUAAAUUUUUUUAAUUUUUCAUACAAAAUUAGAGACAGGAUAACUCUGAAUCAUUUGGAAUGAAAGUCAGCUGUUAUUAAAAGUUUAUUUGUUACAACCAUACAGGUAAAGUCAUGGGCAUUUCAAUAUGCUGAUGUCUAGUUUUACAUAAAAGUGGAAAUAGCAGAAUUAAUCUAUUCAAAUGAGAUGUGGAGUAUAUAUCAAUGAGACAUCAACCUAACAACACAAUCAAAACAAGAACAAAUUUAAGUCUAUUUUGUAGACUACGGUACAUGUCAAGCUCGCUCAACAAAUUGUGAGGCGAUCAAAGAUCAGUCAUUACCAAUUCAAUUAAUAAAACCCAUUAGGGUGAACUUGAAAACAUUCAGCUGUAUAUGAGUGUCCUGAUUUUUGAAUAGGUACUUAAACUUAAGCCAGGUCACACAAAUAUUGAAUAUUUCUAUUUUAACAUUUUUAAUCUUUUUAAAGGGAUAAAAUAUAUGCAUUAAAAAAUUCACAAUAAAUAUUAGGGCAGAGAAACACAAAGAAAGGAACACCAUAAAAUUGGCAUAAGAAACAAUGAAAAUGUAUGUUUAAUGAUGUAAUUUCUGGUCAUGGAGUCUGGAUUAUACUGAAAUAGUCACACUUUUUCAUCUGUUUUUUUGUCUGUCCAUCCAUUCUAAGCUUACAUCUUUUGUUCCAUAUUGAGAAUUAUAUGAUAUUUGGUCUAGAACUUUUAAAUGCAAGAUUCUAAUGAAAAUGAUUUUCAGUGAGACUGGGUAUUCACAUGCAGUUUGACGAUAUUUGGAAAUUAAAAUAUACCCACUGAGGAUAGAACAUUUUAUCAAUGUCUGAUAACAUGUAGUAAUAUACACGUACUUUGGUACACAAUUCUUGUUUAAUGUAGAAAUAAGAGGAUGUGGUAUGAUUGCCAUUGAGAUAACUCUCCACCAGAUACUAAAUGACUUAGAAGCUAGCAACUAAGAUGUUUAAAAUCAACAAAAAACUAUUUAAAGUAUGGUGUUCAAAUCAUAGCAGAUUCUGACAAGGCAAACCUUUAAUAAAACAUUAAUUAACAUGGACAAUAUUUACUUUUAAGCAUGCUGUCCAUGCUAUUAUUUAGUUAUGGUACAGUGUCAGAAAAGUCUGUCCAAAACAUUGGAAAUAUCCUUAGGGACUUGUACAUUUUGUUUGGCCGUCUUAAUAAGCUAUUUUUGUUAUGUCAGUUCAUAUCAUCACAGAGUUUAAUUUUAAACCUUAGGUUGAGAACUAGUGUGUUAACUGCAUGGCAUUGAAACAAACCUUAAAAUUUUACAAUAAAAUUUCCCUUUUGCGGUCUAAAUUUCUUAAAUUUUUUUUCUCAACCCUCAAAAUUAAUGUAGAUGCAUUGUAUAAUUUGGUUUGAAAUUGAAUAUUUAUAAAUUAUUGCAGCUGGAUGAAACUCAAUAAUAGAUCCUUUUUAUAGUUCACACUUGUUAAAAUUGCAGCUAGCACAAGAUUACACAUUGUAAUAAUUCUACAAUAAAUAGUAUUUAACAGCCUAGAAAUUUCAAGUGAACUAUAAUAGACCAUGUGUUCCCCGCCAAACUUUAUUUGCUUUGAAUUAUUGUAAAUAUUUGACAAAUUCAGACCUGUUGCUUUGUGCAUUGUUUAAUUUAGAAUAAAAUAUUAAGGUAAUAUCCUAUAGACGACUUUCAAAAUUGUUCACUUUCCUGUAAAUUAAAUUUCCUAUGUCACAAUGUUUUUGAUAUGACGUCACAGUAGGAAUCAAUUAUUUGAUGAUGUUAAUUGUUUAUGUGGAUUUAAUUACCUUCCGCAUCCAGUGUAACUCAUCCAUAAAAAAGCACCUUGAGGCUUGUGUAAUGAUUUUGUAAAUAGUAAUUUACAGGACAGAAUUUCCAAGGGAAUUACAUGGAAUCGCAAAUGCACCUUCAACAGUUACAAUUCAAAAUGCAUAAUAUCGACUUUAGCAGUGCUUAUUUAUUUUCAAGAGGGGGUUCAUACGCCCCUUAAAACCCCCUGGCUUUGAAUGUGAUUUAAAUGUUACACUUAUAAAAGACCUAGAUAGAAGCCUUUGUAUUCUGUAAUGACCUCCAAGCUAGCCUCUACAGAUGAAGGUCAAAUGAUCAACUAAAUAGGUAAAUUGAUUUCUUGGAUUGAAUAAAAUAAGAAAAAAAUAGAAUAUGGAGAAUAGUUAGGUUUAGUUGUAAUUAGAUGGCAACUAGCCAAUAUGAUAUCCAAACAAACUUAUAAAUGUUGCUGCUUUACAGCAGUAAAAGGUCCCAGAUGAAUUUGGAACACUAUUUAAUGGAAAUGAUGUAGUUUUCUCUUUAGAAUCAGAUUCUAUAAAUGAUCCCAGGAGUUUAGGACAUGAACCUCUCUGUUUCUAGGUAUAAACUAAACUUUAAUCAUAAGAUGGCAAAAUAAAGAGCUAGACACAUUAUUAAAGAACUUUUAAUGAGUUGAAAAAAAAUUAAACACAGAAAAAAAGAAUAAUGAGGGCCAUGGCCAAAAAGUUAACAUAUCUGAUAGAAAAUAUAUUUUAUGCAAAUUUGCUAAAUUUGAACAAUUUUAUGAAUAAUUGCAGUAAACGAAAAUAACUGGAGUGAAACUAUAGUUAUUUUAUGCACACUGUAACAUAUAUAUUUAUUUCAGUAUACCUAUAAAAAUGUUCAAAAAAGCUCUUGGUAGAUUUCUGAGUGAACAGUUACUAGAAGUUGGUUAUAUUACGAGAACUAAACAGAUAAUUAGAUGAUGGUAACAACCACUGGACUUAAGGACAUGCUGGACUUAAGGACAUGGCAGAGGUAUGAUUAACAAUAUUGUGGUGCCCACUUGUUAAACCAGGUUUAUAGUGCUUAAAAUCCAGAUUAUUUGGGAAAGGAACAAUAGACAUUACAAAUAGAUAAAGGAUAGAUAUCAUCUGAACAAUGAUAAGAUACAGUUGAGACAUUGUAAAAUCGUCAUUUAUUUCAAGGAAGGGCUUGUUUUGGCUAAUAUAAUGAAUUUGACAAAAUCAAGAAAUAUGCCUUUGAGUAAAUUUGAUCUUUAAGGAAGAUUAGAAACAAAGUUAAGAAAAACACACAAAAGCUCAUAAACUGGUUUGGCCUUUGAGAACACUGAAAAAAAACUCUUUGUAAGGAAUAACCCCCUUUUUUCAGUUUAUCAGAUAGAUUCCUUGUUCUAAAAACACUUUGAAAUUAAUGAAUCCUAAAGCUUUGUCUUGAGAAAUUAACUGUCUUAUAAUACUUUUUAGCUCAACCUGGCCCGAAGGGCCAAGUGAGCUAUUCUCAUCACUUGGCGUCCGUCAUCCUUUGUCCUUUGUCGUCGUUAAUUUUUUACAUUUUGAACUUCUUCUAGAGAAACAAUGAAUGGUAUGAAACCAAACAUGGCAUGCAUGUUAAGCAUGAGGUGCUGACAAAAUGUAGUUACUUUGUAGCCCAUCCAUCAUCCAAGAUGACCGCCAGCGAGGGUAAUUAAUUAAACAUAGGACCCUAUUGGAUAUGCAUACAAAUGUCUUCUUAUAGAGAACCAUUGAAUGGAAUGAAACCAAACAUAGCAUGAAUGUUCCUUAUGAGGUGCUGACCAGCUGUUGCAACUUUGUAACCGAUCCAUCAUCCAAGAUGGCCGCCAGUGGGGGACUUAGUGUAACAUUGGACCCUAUGGGAAAUACAUACAAAUGUCUUUUUUAGAGAACUACUGAAUGGAAUGAAACUAAACAUAGCUUAAAGGUUUCUUAUGAUAGUUUAUUAUGAGAUGCAGACCAUGUGUUGUUACUUUGUAGAUGAUCCAUCAUCCAAGAUGGUCGCCAGGAGGGACUUCGUUUAACAUAUAGGACCCUAUGGGAAAUACAUACAAAUGUCUUCGUUUAGAAAACCACUGAAUGGAAUGCAAUAUUAAACCAAAUUUGGCCUCAAUCAUUAUUUAGGUAUCUGUUAUGAUUUUUAUCUUUUUUUAUAUGAUUUCAAAAACACAAGUAGAAUCAGGUGAGCGACACAGGCUCUUGAGAGCCUCAAGUUUUGUUUGCCUUAAAGGAUGGACAGAAUCCAGUAUUUUAUUAUAAUUGACAAGCACAUAAGGCAUUAAUUCUAGUUUUUAGAUAUCUUUCACAGGAACUUAGUUUCUAUCCAUGGCAUGAUCUACUAUCCGUAUAUAUAAAGGAUAGCAGCGAUCUUGCCAUGGAUAGAAAACAAGUACCUGUGAUAUGUUUUCAUUGGAAUGACAAUAACCUUGAAGUAUAAUUUUAUAGUCAUCCUAUUAAAAUAUAUUGAUAGUUUUAAAACUUAGUUGAUGAAAUCCUUCAGGAAUGUAUAUGUAUGUCACAGCAUAUCAAACAAAUUGCUUCAUUUCACUCUAAUGUCAAAACUUCCAGGAAAUGUUCCAUAACUGUCAAUAUUAAACAAGUGGAAGAAACAUCUAUAUUUAAGCACUUUCAAUUACAUUAUUAUCUUCCUUAAGGUUAAAGGUUCAUUAUUUCCAUGUUGUUUGAGGGCUAAUCGGUCUGUUUUUAUAAUAUUGAUUAUUUAUAUCAUUUAGAUCUUGGUGAUAGCUCCUAUUAACAAAGGCAAUCGGUCAUCAAAUUGUUUAUGGUAGGUUUCAUAAUAAUUGUGACCUUUCAGGUCAAUUAUAGCAGAAAACUUUGGUGCGCAGACAGCAUACCAACAUGUGACAGAUCACAUGACAAUACAGAUAGAUUGAGGCGGACAUUCAACAGUUGACUCAUGAACUCUAGACCUCUUUUAUCUAUAUUAAAUCCAUUGUCAAUUAUAGAGAUGUGUUCUAAAUGAUUGGUCAGAGUUGAUGUAGGUUUGAUAUUGCUAAAUGAUUGGUCAGAGUUGAUGUAGGUUUAAUAUUCACACAAUUAUAAGUAUAUAGAUAUAAGAAGAUGUGGUAUGAGUGCCAAUGAGACAACUCUCCAUCACAAUCACAAUUUGUAAAAGUUGACCAUUAUAGGUCAAAGUAUAGCCUUCGAUCAACAUGGAGCCCAACCACAAGCUAUAUAAACAGCCCAAAAAAUAUUAAUAGUCCUUGUGAAUAAAAAUAUGAGGAAGCACAAUACUGACUAAAUAACUGAAAUUGAUUAGAUUCAGAUUAAGAAUGAACAUAUGUCAUACAUAAGAAAAAUGAUGCAUUGGUGUUUGAUUAAUGGAAUAAUGGCAAUAUGGUCAUGGUUGCAAUUAACAUUUAAAAAAAGGACAUUUAACAGGAAAAAAAUAAAUAAUCAUGACCAAAUUCACUUGUUACUAUUUCAGGGGACAAUAACAACCUAAAAAUUAUGGUUGCUAACUAAAACAACUAUUAAUGGCUGCUGCUCCUGAAACUAAAUUAGAAAGAUUAGUAAUAACAACAGGUAUUUAUUUUUUGGCAGAUAUUGCAACCAGAUUUGAAGUUCGUGAAAUUGCUUAACAUUAAAAUUUAUGAAAUCUGUCUUUAUCAUCAUCUAAGUCAGGACUACAUUUAUUUAAUAAUGAUAGAACUUGUCAAACUUUUACAAAUCUUCACAAAAUAUUCUGAAUUGCAGUCAAAUUGAGAUCAUGCAAAGUUCAGCUAGAACUUGUACUACUUUCACUUUUUCACACAUUUUGCUGUACACAAAAUCACAUUUAUAUUUUAUGAAAUUUAUUGAGUUACAAUUUACCCUAAAUUGUUCUAUUAUUUUGCAGGGUCAUACCAACACAUUGUCAAUACAGACAUUUUCUGAUAGUCAGAUAUAUUUAUUAUGCAAUUCCUUUUGCACUCUAAUUUAUAUUGAGGUAAGAUUUUAAAGAUUUUAUUGAAGUCAAAAUAUAUUUAAAGCCAUAUUGAAUUUGGGAUUAAAAGUCCUGUCAAUAUUUUUAUUUCACUAUGUUAUAUAUGCUAGUGCACAGUAAAUUAAAGAAACUGAAAUUGAUUCAAUGAAUUAAAUAAGCAUAUUAGUUUUUGUUGUCUAGUUCUUAUCUCUGAUACAAUAGCAGUAAGUCCCCCCUUUUGUUGGAAACAUUUGGUUGAUUAUAUAGGGAAUCGCUGAAGCAUGAUUGGAGAGGGCAUCCCUUAGGUCAGUCAGUGGGCCCCCUAACAAAAAGUUCUGAAUCUGCCAGUGCCUCUAUUAAAUAAAAAUUAACUGUCUUAGCAGGUAACAUCUUCUUAUCCUGCUAGAUAUAACCUUAUGUAAAAUGAAAUAUAAUACAAGGUCACCUCUCACAAGAGGUUAGUUUUCUCAGGACCUGGUGGUGAACUUUAUAUAAUGGUCUGACGGUAUGCUUAACUACCAUAACAUAUGGUCUGCUGUAUAAGAACCUCAAAAGGAUUACAGGUAUAGAAAAUUUUAAUUAUGUAUCAUAUUAUCAAAUUUCUCACUUCUAGCAAUUCAGUGUUGAAAGUGCUACACAUGCAUUUAUUUUUCACAAAUUUUUCAUAGUUCAGUGUCACGCUCUCUUCACGUUGAACCCUUGCAACUUAAUUGUUGGAGGGGUCUGUUGGUGGCCUGUUGCAAGGCCCAAUUUCUGACCCUUUCAAAUAGACUGUUGGUCUAAAUUUUACCUGACCUUAAUCUUUUAUUGUCAAUUUGUGUUCUCGUCCUGAACAUGCUUGAAAUAUUUGCCACUGGACAUUUAUCAAGCAGCAUUCAAUCAAUCAAUCAUUGGUUAAUUUUAUAUAAAUUUUGCUGAUGAAAACAAUAAAGAAGCACUGAACUGUUAUUGAUCUUGUGUUAACAUUAAAAUAAAUUUUCUUAUAAAACUAUUUCUUAAACCUGCCUCAUUAACCCUGGACAUUUUUAUUACUUGUCUUUUCAGAUUAAAACAACUUUGAUGAAUACAGACAUUAAAAGAAAAUUGAUGGAUCAUUUGGGAGUUUAAGAAGAAUUACCAGCUUUAUUGAUUGGAUUAUAUAGUUUAAUAGGUAUCUAUAAAAUUUACAGUUUGGAAUAAAAGCUAAUUUACCAGCUUGAAAAUAUACAUGACUAAUUUUAUCAUGGGAAAAUUUAAUUGAUUGAAUUUCUAGCUAUUUCAUUGAUCUUAACUUUUACUAUGCAGAUCAAUUAAGCUUAUAUAUUGCUUAAAGUACAAAUAUAUUAAAUUAUUUAUUAGCUAUUACAAAACACGAACAUUUUACUGAAAAUAAGUAAAAAGUCUUAAUAAUUAUAUAAUCAAUGGCAAACACAUGACAAAAAUAUGCAAAAAAACAUAAAAACAUCAAAAAUAAAUGUUGUAUUACUGGCUAUGUAGUAUGUACAUUUGUAUCUGUUAUGAGAUUUUUGAGAUACCAUAAAGGGUUUACUAAAAUGUUUUAUCAUAAAUAUGCUUGAAAUAUUUUCCACUGGACAUUAAACACAAAACAGUCAAUGAUCAUAUAUCUUUUCAUAUGACACUAGAAUUAUUACUCAGUGAUAGGCAGAUUAACCCAUUUAUUCAUAAAAUUUAUAAUGGAAACAACCCGACCAAAGAGCAGAAAACAGUCUGAAGGUCACCAAUGAAUCCUCAACACAGGAAGAAAAUCCAGCAUGCAAAUAUUUCAUUACAUAUCCUAAUAAAUAAAAAUGCAUCUUGAAAUUUAUGAUAUAUUGAAUCGUAAUUGAACAAUAAUAUUAAUGUGAAAUUUUAUUAAGUUAUUUGUUCGUCAUGAAAGCUAGACUGUACAUCAGACCAUUUUCCAAUUGACAAUCAUUAGAAGAAUUAAUAGAACUUAAUUGAAUAUAUUGUGAUUGAAGUAAUAGAAUUGUUUGAUGGUUUUCAGUGCUGUAGGUUAGCAUGGGGUCACAUUUAUAUAUAUUCAGAAAUCAAUAAAACUGGACAUACACUUUUAUAUAAUAGGGAUAUCGGUCAUAAAAUUCUUAAUGUUUAUUCUGUGUUAUCUUAUUUUACUUAUUAGCACAGAUUUAAUGUGUUGAAGACAAUGGUAUCAUAUGACUGGAUGUUUUGAUUAUAACAGUUUAAGUCGUGUGUAAAAACUCGUUUGACAGUUUUCAAGGUAUGUGUUUUUAUUCCACACAAUUUCAGUUAAAUCCAUUAAAUUUCAUGAUGUUUCAGGAUAUUUUCAAUCUAGACAUUUUGUUGAGGCAAACUUUUUGGCGCCUUGAAUAUGAAAAUUUAUAAAGUGUAGUAUAUAUACCAUAUGACAUCCUGAAGAUAGCGUUUUGCACCAAUCUGCAUUUCAUUUGCUCAGAUUUUUUCUUACACUUGCACCCAUUUUUUCUUUCAUUUGGGCUGAUUGUGUUCAGGUAAAUAACAGGUGAAUGCUAUUUCUUAUUUAUAAAAAAAACCUCUUCUGUUAGUCAGUUGUACACAUAUAUGAAUUGUCAAUUAUCACUUUCCUCCAUAAUGACGCCUUUAGACGCCUGUGUAGUGCCUCAGUUGAAAAAUCUUGCCUACGAUAAAUCUGUAUGCCUAAGUGUUUUUUAAAAUCGUGCUGUGAUCGUUUAUUUUGUAGAAUUUAAUCACCUUUCCAGUUUAGGGGUUUCCCUAAACGAUUAAUACAACUUUUAAAUUCAGUUGUUUAAUUGAUGCAUUCGUGGUAUUGUUAUUCUAUAGAAGAAAAGUAUCUAACCGACGCAAGGCGGCUCCAUCUUGGGCUGUGGGUAACUUAAGUUACCCACAGCCGUUUAAGCACAGUGAAAAUAAAUUAAAUAUGUCACAGAUAUGAAAUUUAUAUGACAAUCAUUUGAAUGAUUUAUACUUUGAAGUCUUGUCAUUAAAUAUAUUUAAAAUGUUGUUAUAAUGUCAUGUAUAUCACAAAAAGGUGUAAAGGCGAAAUCACAAAAUUAUGAAAAACGCAAAAACAGGAAAUCGCGAAGACACAAAAUCACAAGAAAACACUACAACGAAAGGAAAAAUAUAUCUUGUUUUUGCCAUUUGGACAUUGCGAAUUUGUGUUUUUUUAGUUUUCGUCCUAUAGAAUAUGAUGGCUGAAAAUAUGAAAACGUGAAAUGGCCUUAACCGGCCACCAUACAAAUAAGCAGUUUUCAACAUUUUUUUUCGCCAUUCUUUGAGAUACUGAUUUGAUAAUUGGUUUAUAGAUUAUCACGAAAAGUUACAGACAAAUUUAAAUUUUGUUUUGAUCUGAUGAUUUUGUGCAGAGUUAUGGUCCUUUUACUAAGAAAAUUCACUGAAAAUUCAGUUUUCCACACUUUUUUGUCAUGCUUGAAGAUAUUGAUCUGAUAAUUGAUAUAUAGUUUUAUCAGGAAAGAUAUUGAUAAUUGGUAUAUAGUUUUAUCAGGAAAAGAAACAGACCAAUUUCAAAAUUUUGUUUAACUCUGACGAUUUUAUGCAGAGUUAUGGUCUCUGGAUUAGAAUGAUAUUGACUUGAUCAAGCUAGCAUUUUGUUCCAGUACAAUGACUUUUUAACUGGUAGAGGACUAUGUAUUGCCAUGCAACACAACAUCUUAGAAUGUUUUUUUUUUCAAAUUGACAACAUCAAUCUUUGAAUUAUCAACCUUAAUCUCUGAAUUUCCAACUUUAAAAUUAAAAUUAUCAACUUUAAUCUUGGAAUUAUUAACUUUAAUAAUGGAAUUAUCAACUAUAAUCUUUGAAUAAUCAAAAUUAAACUGGAAAUUCUGAAGAGUAAUUCCAUAAGGUUGGGUAUAAAUAUACAAGGAAAAAUUCAAAAUUCAAAUGUUAAGCUUAGAUAUAAGUUUUAUAUAGGCUUGUAUGCAGUUUUUAUGAAAUUAAAAGAUCCUCCAAAAUACAACUUUUCCUACAAUAGACCACUUUCGAGUUAGUCCACCACCGUAAAAAACUCGUCAAUUAUGCGUGCCUUUAUGACUUCAUUUACCAGAUAGAAGGGGUCACCUGUAUCCCUGCACCAUUUACGUUCAUAAAGUGUCUUAGUGAACGUCAUUGUGCAGGAUAAACUAGAAAUAAUGUUUGUCUGGUAGGUACUUAAUCACAAUUACCUAAUGGCUGAUUGUCAAUUAUGAGAAUUCAGUUUGACGAAUAAUUCGUGCAAUAUAGAAUCAUAGUUUUCCAGCCAAUUGCUCAACAUGGGAGCAUAAGUGGCGACGCCCCUAAACGCUCAAAUGAUGUUCACUAAAACCAGAGUUUUUGACGGAAAUGCAUCAAACUCAAACGUUGUCUAUUGGCUAAUAAUUGGUAUUCAGAAAAAUAAUUGAAUCCACAACUACUGUCCAUUUGAGAAAUGCAUAUAUGGUUCAAUGUCCUAGAAACGAAUCUUUUUGAAAGUAAAACAAGAAAUUGUUUGAAAACUUGUAUGGCAUUUAAAUACAUGACCUGUAGAUGGCACUUUGAAAAUGGGGUACAACCUGUACAAUUUAUACAUUUCAGUUAUUUGUUGAUCAGCUUCAUAAUUAUUUAGAAAGAUAUAUGAUGAAGUGUGUCAAAUUGUUUUCUUGAUUCUAAUGUAUGAAUUGUAGACCCUUGUAACAUGUGUAACAUGUUGAUGAAUAUGCGGACAACUCUUAAUGUAAACUUUAUUUGAAAAGGAUAAUAUUUGAAGAAGAAAAAAAAAAAUAAUAUGUGAUAUGUUAUAUUUUUUAUUUUAGAAAAAGAAAGUAAAGUUGAAAGAACUUCAUUUUAUCAAAGCCAGAACAGGAGUUACAUCAAACAAGAAAGCAUCAGGUUUAUAAAAAUAUGAUUCUUAAACAAUACAGUUCAGUUGUAAAAAAAAAACCAAUAAAAGGAUUCUGUGCACACAAGACACAUUUCACUCCAUCCAAAUGUUUGGAAAGCCAAAAAAAAAAAAAAGAAUUGAAAGAACAUGAAGAAAGAAAGAAAGUUUAAUGGCUACUAUAAAAAAAUGACAAUACAGGGACAAUAUAAAAUCCCAAGUUGAAGACACCAACAACAGCAUGGCAAAAAAUGAAAAGGCAAAAAAUAAAAAAACACUCUAAAGAAAACUACUGACUUCAGCAACACAGAUGAUUAUAUCUUACAGUAUAAAUAAGUAUUACUAAUCAAGGACAAUAGACAGGAAAAAGUGGCAAUUAGGCAUGUUGUUGCAGUAAUGUAGCAUUUUAAUUUUAAUAUUUGCGUUUAAGUAUGAAAAUAAAAUAAAGGCAAGACAUUUAUCUGUGUCAACAAUUUGGUUUUCUCUCUGUAUCCACAGAGAAAUCUGAAAGAAGCAGCAAUUUACUAAUGUUUAAAUAAAUUUCCAAUAUUUUGACUUUGAACACUGAUUUAUAAAACAAAUGUAAAAAUAAUGACCACAUCCUAAUAUUUAACGAC
Molecule: long non-coding RNA, 18152 nt
Filed under: Mytilus galloprovincialis (Mediterranean mussel)
Lineage: Eukaryota; Metazoa; Mollusca; Bivalvia; Mytilida; Mytilidae
Source: RNAcentral